CGAGACUCCCUCUCAAAAAAAAAAAAAAAACUGUUAGGUAUAUAUUACGGUAUAUAUAUUAAGGCAGACCUGGGUCGGUCUCAUACUGGAAUGCCUAUUAGCUGCAUGAGGGGAAACAGUAACCAGAAAGUAGAGGACUGGACAACAUCUGGACCAAGGGAUCAAAAUUAACAUCAAUAAGGAAGUCGCUAUGCACAGUUCACACUUAAGGACUGAGGAAGAGUUAUGUUCCAUCUCCUUGAAGUCCUAGAAUCAGGCGUUUCUUUAAGAGGCCCUACUUCCUCUAAUUGGAUAAUUCUAGAAACCGGUAUUUGAAUCUGAGGUUUAACUAAAGAGAAUACCUUCUACUGAUGUAACAGCAAUGGUAAUUGGUAUAAAGGCAAAAGCAUGUGCAAAGGAGAAAUCACAACAAAGGCCACUUAUUGAAAUAAAACCUAUUAAAAAUGUACAUUAUCCUCUUGA
RNAcentral lists this long non-coding RNA (462 nucleotides) under Homo sapiens (human). RNAcentral's name for it is "HSALNT0376055". Lineage: Eukaryota; Metazoa; Chordata; Mammalia; Primates; Hominidae. The record is from RNAcentral.